UGGGGAAUAUUGCACAAUGGGGGAAACCCUGAUGCAGCGACGCCGCGUGAACGAAGAAGGUAUUCGUAUCGUAAAGUUCUGUCCUAUGGGAAGAUAAUGACAGUACCAUAGAAGAAAGCUCCGGCUAAAUACGUGCCAGCAGCCGCGGUAAUACGUAUGGAGCGAGCGUUGUCCGGAAUUAUUGGGCGUAAAGGGUACGCAGGCGGUUUAAUAAGUCGAAUGUUAAAGAUCGGGGCUCAACGCCGCAAAGCAUUGGAAACUGAUAAACUUGAGUAGUGGAGAGGAAAGUGGAAUUCCUAGUGUAGUGGUGAAAUACGUAGAUAUUAGGAGGAAUACCAGUAGCGAAGGCGACUUUCUGGACACAAACUGACGCUGAGGUACGAAAGCGUGGGGAGCAAACAGG
This 403-nucleotide ribosomal RNA is filed under the name bacterium. RNAcentral's name for it is "partial 16S ribosomal RNA". It matches the Rfam family "Bacterial small subunit ribosomal RNA", at positions 355 to 776 of the family's 1533-position model. The record is from RNAcentral.